CCUUCUCCUUUCUCCUUUGUCGCUCACUCAUAUCUUCCAGUGAACACACACACACACACACAAACAAACCACAGCAUAUAUAUAUUUGUAAGCCGAAUCUUAUCACUAGGCCAUGGCGGAUGUACAAAUGGCGGGUGAAACUGAGACGUUUGCUUUCCAGGCGGAGAUUAAUCAGCUCUUGAGUCUCAUCAUCAACACUUUCUAUAGUAACAAGGAAAUCUUCCUUCGUGAGCUCACCAGCAACGCUUCUGACGCUUUGGAUAAGAUCAGAUUCGAGAGCUUAACGGACAAGAGCAAGUUGGAAUCGCAGCCGGAGCUCUUCAUUAGGAUUGUCCCUGAUAAAGUUAAUAGGACUCUGUCCAUUAUCGAUAGUGGCGUCGGCAUGACCAAAUCAGAUAUGGUAAACAAUUUGGGAACAAUUGCAAGGUCUGGGACAAAGGAGUUUAUGGAGGCAUUGCAGGCUGGAGCUGAUGUUAGCAUGAUUGGGCAGUUUGGUGUGGGUUUCUACUCUUCCUACCUCGUUGCUGAGAAGGUUGUUGUGACGACCAAGCACAAUGAUGAUGAACAAUAUGUCUGGGAAUCUCAAGCAGGUGGAUCCUUCACUGUGACAAGGGAUGUCAGCGGAGAACCACUGGGCAGGGGCACUAAAGUCACCCUCUACCUCAAGGAGGAUCAGCUGGAAUACUUGGAAGAGAGGAGGAUUAAGGACCUUGUGAAGAAGCAUUCGGAAUUCAUUAGCUACCCAAUUUAUCUCUUGGUUGAGAAGACAACUGAGAAAGAGAUCAGUGAUGAUGAAGAUGAGGAAACCAAGAAGGACGAGGAAGGAGAAGUUGAAGAAGUAGAUGAGGAGAAAGACAAGGAUAAAAAGAAAAAGAAGAAGAUAAAGGAGGUGACAAAUGAAUGGCAGCAAAUUAACAAGCAGAAACCUCUCUGGCUUCGGAAGCCUGAAGAGGUUACCAAGGAGGAGUAUGCAGCCUUCUACAAGAGCCUAACAAAUGAUUGGGAGGAUCAUCUUGCUGUGAAACACUUCUCUGUUGAAGGACAGUUGGAGUUCAAGGCUAUUCUGUUUGUUCCAAAGAGGGCACCCUUUGAUCUCUUUGAUACACGGAAGAAGUUGAACAACAUCAAGCUCUAUGUCAGGAGGGUGUUCAUCAUGGAUAAUUGUGAGGAGCUCAUUCCUGAAUACCUUGGAUUCGUUAAAGGCGUGGUGGAUUCGGAUGAUCUCCCACUAAAUAUAUCUCGUGAGACGCUCCAACAGAACAAAAUCCUGAAGGUCAUCAGGAAGAAUAUUGUCAAGAAGUGCAUUGAGAUGUUCUUUGAAAUUGCAGAGAACAAAGAGGAUUAUGCUAAGUUCUAUGACGCCUUCUCCAAAAAUAUCAAAUUGGGUAUUCAUGAAGACAGCCAAAACAGGGCAAAGCUUGCUGAUCUUCUCAGGUAUUACUCCACAAAGAGUGGGGAUGAGUUGACCAGCUUGAAGGACUAUGUCACAAGGAUGAAGGAAGGGCAGCAGGACAUUUAUUAUAUAACCGGCGAGAGCAAGAAAGCUGUUGAGAAUUCUCCAUUCUUGGAAAAGCUUAAAAGGAAAGGAUGCGAGGUGCUUUUCAUGGUUGAUGCCAUUGACGAAUAUGCUGUUGCACAGUUGAAAGAGUAUGAUGGUAAAAAACUUGUUUCUGCAACAAAGGAAGGUUUAAAGCUCGAUGAGUCUGAGGAAGAGAAAGCAGCAAGGAGGAGAAGAAAAAGUCAUUUGAGAAUCUUUGCAAAGUAAUGAAGGAUAUUCUUGGAGAGAGAAUUGAGAAAGUGGUGGUUUCUGACAGGGUUGUUGAUUCUCCUUGCUGCUUGGUCACUGGGGAAUAUGGCUGGACAGCAAACAUGGAGAGGAUUAUGAAGGCUCAAGCAUUAAGGGAUACCAGCAUGAGCGCUUACAUGUCAAGCAAGAAAACAAUGGAGAUCAACCCUGACAAUGGAAUCAUUAAGGAGCUUAGGAAGAGAGCCGAGGAAGAUAAGAAUGACAAAUCAGUUAGAGACUUGGUGCUGCUGCUUUAUGAGACUGCUUUGUUGACCUCUGGUUUCAGCCUUGAUGAUCCAAACCAAUUUGGUUCAAGGAUCCAUAGGAUGUUGAAAUUGGGGCUUAGCAUCGAGGAAAAUGAGACCGAUGAUGACGCUGACAUGCCUGAAUUGAAGGAGGAAACCAAUGAGGAGAGUAAAAUGGAGGAAGUUGACUGAAAGAGAGUUGUUUGCGGAUGUUAGUAGACGGUGGAGUUCAUGCAACAGUGGCUUUUGUGGUAGAGUUGUUCUUUUCUUAAAGCCCCCCUGUAGUUUCUUUAGUAGCAUUAUGGUUACUCGACUAGCUCUGUGCUUUAAGUUGUCCUCUGUUCUUGCUGUGGCUGAUGCUACUAUAUUUCUGACAUGAUUACCCAUUGUAAUAUAUAAUAUAAUAUAAAAUUAUAAAUGCGUGUUGUGGGUUUGUGCUGAA
This is a non-coding RNA of Coffea arabica (coffee), 2473 nucleotides long. The record is from RefSeq and is a predicted model, not a curated record. Lineage: Eukaryota; Viridiplantae; Streptophyta; Magnoliopsida; Gentianales; Rubiaceae.